GAACGAAAGGGAAUACGGUUCCAAUUCGUGACGCGCAUAAUGGAUUAACGAGAUCCUGGAAGUCGGGAAGACCUGUUGAGCUUGACUCUAAUCUGGCAGUGUAAGGAGACAUAAGAGGUGUAGCAUAAGUGGGAGAUAUAUAAUAAUCUUUUAAGAUUUAUAUAUCAAAAAUGAAAUACCACUACUCUUAUUGUUUCCUUACUUACUUGAUUAAAUGGAACGUGUAUCAUUUACUUAGCCAUUAUAUGGAUAUAUUUUUUAUAAUAUAUUUUAUGGUAUUUUGUUUUGAUGCAAGCUUCUUGAUCAAAGUACUUAUGAGUUUGUUAUAUACACCAAACAAAUUUCAGUGAAAUCGUUUUUAUAAUAAAAAAUUUUUCUUUAUAGAAAUAAUUUUUUUUUUAUGUAUAAUUAAAGUAAUUAUUUUUGGUAUAACUCUUUAUACUCUGGUAUGAUCCAAUUCAAGGACAUUGGCAGGUAGGGAGUUUGACUGGGGCGGUACAUCUCUCAAAUAAUAACGGAGGUGUCCCAAGGCCAGCUCAGUGCGGACAGAAACCACACAUAGAACAAAAGGGCACAUGCUGACUUGACCUCGGUGUUCAGUAUACACAGAGACAGCAAAAGCUCGGCCUAUCGAUCCUUUUGGUUUAAUGAGUUUUUAGCAAGAGGUGUCAGAAAAGUUACCACAGGGAUAACUGGCUUGUGGCGACCAAGCGUUCAUAGCGACGUCCGCCUCUAAGGUCGUAUCCGUGCUGGACUGUAAUAAUAAUAAUUGGGGUAAUUGUAUUGCGUGGCAAUAAACAAUUUAAAGUUUAUAAUUUUUAUAUUAUAAACGAUAUAUAAAAUAAUGAUGCCAAUGUGUUAUUUAAUAUAGUUAUUAUAGUUUGUAUAAAAGUAACAUUCUAUAUAAAAAACUAAUUAAAUAUUAACUAAUCAUUAUAUAAUGCGAUGACAAUGCCUAGAAUCAAUUGUAAACGACUUUGGUAACGGGCAAGGUGUUGUAAGUGGUAGAGCAGCUGCCAUACUGCGAUCCACUGAAGCUUAUCCUUU
Molecule: ribosomal RNA, 1047 nt
Filed under: Dasypogon diadema
Lineage: Eukaryota; Metazoa; Arthropoda; Insecta; Diptera; Asilidae
Description: eukaryotic LSU rRNA
Rfam family: Eukaryotic large subunit ribosomal RNA
Source: RNAcentral